Molecule: long non-coding RNA, 313 nt
Filed under: Sus scrofa (pig)
Lineage: Eukaryota; Metazoa; Chordata; Mammalia; Artiodactyla; Suidae
Description: lncRNA (ENSSSCG00070028724.1)
Source: RNAcentral
GUUGUGGGUACUCUAUGUGAAUUAAAAUACAAAUCUUUUAUAUUACCCUAUGAAGAAAUUCAGGCAUGGAGAAGUUAAAUAACUUGACUGAAGUCCCACAACUAGUAAGGAUGGAAACUCAGAAAAGAAACUUGAAAAUACAUAAUUUCAAGCUUCAGAAUGGAUAUAUGUCAACAAAAACCAGUCCAUUUGUUGGAAAAUUAAGUCCAUCAUAACUGCAGUUUUCUUGUAAAGAGCAAUAACAGGUUGGUUAAUAUUUUACACUCUUCAACUUAUUUUUAGAUUGUUAUACUCCCAUAGUCAUUGUGGUGUU